Long non-coding RNA from Talpa occidentalis (Iberian mole), 442 nucleotides. RefSeq lists it as uncharacterized. The record is from RefSeq and is a predicted model, not a curated record. The transcript has 3 exons. Lineage: Eukaryota; Metazoa; Chordata; Mammalia; Eulipotyphla; Talpidae.
GCCUGGCCUUUCCUACUUAGCCUUGUUCUGAUGUUUCCUUAUUAUCCUUUUAAAUAUCCAUGGAUUUUAAAAUGAAGACUCCUUCAUUCUUGAUCUGGUGGACAAGCCAGAACAAGUUCUCCUGGUGAUGGCAGAGGUGCAGGAAGGCAAGUGGAAACUCGUGAUCCUGCUUAAAGCCUAAUUCUGGACCAGGCACCAUGUCACUUCCUCCCACAUCCACUGACACAAGGUUUUGUCCUUUAUUGCAUCUUUAUAUCUUAAAUAAAUUAUGUUUAGAAAUUCAUUUUAUAUUCUCCAUUGGCAAGACACCGGUAUCCAGAUCUGCCUGAAGUCUCAAACUUUUAUCUAUAUACUUAUUUUUGACUGAUUGCUGUGAUAUUCAAAGUAUUCCUCUUUAAUACAUUCUACCUUCAAACAAUAAAGCAUCACUCCUCUUUACAUA